Molecule: ribosomal RNA, 460 nt
Filed under: uncultured bacterium
Lineage: Bacteria
Description: partial 16S ribosomal RNA
Rfam family: Bacterial small subunit ribosomal RNA
Source: RNAcentral
CCUACGGGAGACUGCAGUGAGGAAUAUUGGUCAAUGGACGAGAGUCUGAACCAGCCAAGUAGCGUGAAGGAUGACUGCCCUAUGGGUUGUAAACUGCUUUUAUAAAGGAAUAAAACGAGGCACGUGUGCCUUGUUGCAUGUACUUUAUGAAUAAGGAUCGGCUAAAUCAGUGCCAGCAGCCGCGGUAAUACGGAGGAUCCGAGCUUUAUCCGGAUUUAUUGGGUUUAAAGGGAGCGUAGAUGGGUUGUUAAGUCAGUUGUGAAAGUUUGCGGCUCAACCGUAAAAUUGCAAUUGAUACUGGCAGUCUUGAGUACAGUUGAGGUAGGCGGAAUUCGUGGUGUAGCGGUGAAAUGCUUAGAUAUCACGAAGAACCCCGAUUGCGAAGGCAGCUUACUAAACUGUGACUGACAUUGAUGCUCGAAAGUGUGGGUAUCAAACAGGAUUAGAUACCCUUGUAGUC